GGAAACUCUGGUGGAAGUCCGUUGCGAUUCUAACGUGCAAAUUGAUCGUCGAACUUGGGUAUAGGGGCGAAAGACUAAUCGAACCAUCUAGUAGCUGGUUCCUCCCGAAAUUUCCCUCAGGAUAGCUGCAACCGAAUAGUUUUAUCAGGUAAAGAGAAUGAUUAGAGGCCUCAGGGAUGGAACGUUCUUGACCUAUUCUCAAACUUUAAAUGGGUAAGAGCCCGGGGUUGUUUAAUUAAACCCUGCGGUCGAAUGGCGGUUGCUAGUGGGCCAAUCUGGGUAAGCUAGAUUGGCGAUGCGGGAUGAACCGAACGUCUAGUUAAAGUGCCAAAGUAUCCGCUAACCUAGAUCCCACAAAAGGUGUUGGUUCAUUAAGACAGCAGGACGGUGGCCAUGGAAGUUGGAAACCGCUAAGGAGUGUGUAACAACUCACCUGCCGAAUGAACUAGCCCUGAAAAUGGAUGGCGCUUAAGCGGAUGACUUAUACUAGACCAACACUACAAGUACAAGGCAGUGUUGAGUAGGGGGGCGUGGAACUCGUUGUGAAUUCUGUGGCGUGAGCCGAGAUGAAAUGAGUUCUAGUGCAGAUCUUGGUAGCAGUAGCAAAUAUUCAAAUGAGAACUUUGAAGACUGUCGUGGAGAAAGGUUCCAUGUGAACAGUAAUUGGACAUGGGUGAGUCGAUCCUAAGAGAUAGGAAAAUUCUUUUUCAAAGUAGCCCUUUUUCGGAAGGGCUCGCUUAUCGAAAGGGAAUCGGGUUAAUAUUCCCGAACCAGGGAGUGGAUACUGAGUGGUAACACAAGCAAAAUCGGGGACAUUAGCGGGAGCCCCGAGAAGAGUUCUCUUUUCUUUUUAACAUUUCAAUGGACCUUGGAAUCGGGUUGACCGGCGAUAAGGUUCAAUGAAUGGUAAAGCGGCAUACUUUUUGUGUCGUUCGGUGCGCUCCCGAUGAUCCGUGAAAACCCGGUGGCGUGACUUAUUCGCACUCCUGGUCGUACUCAUAACCGCCUCAGGUCUCCAAGGUGUGAAGCCUCUAGCCUAUAGAAAAAUGUAGAUAAGGGAAGUCGGCAAAAUAGAUCCGUAACCUCGGGAUAAGGAUUGGCUCUGAGGGUUGGGCCUAGGGGUCUCAGAAACGAUGGAUGUGGCGGCUAGGAGAGGAUUGCGGUUUACGCUGCGGACCUCACCCGGUCGUUCUCCGGAGGUUUUGAGAAUGUCUUCGGACUUUCCUUAGUGCGGGGAACAACUAACUCAGAACUGGAGCGGACAAGGGGAAUCCGACUGUUUAAUUAAAACAAAGCAUUGCGAUGGCUGGAGACGGUGUUGACGCAAUGUGAU
RNAcentral lists this ribosomal RNA (1333 nucleotides) under Synura kristiansenii. Its description in RNAcentral is "partial large subunit ribosomal RNA". It matches the Rfam family "Eukaryotic large subunit ribosomal RNA", at positions 857 to 2195 of the family's 3401-position model. Lineage: Eukaryota; Synurophyceae; Synurales; Mallomonadaceae. The record is from RNAcentral.